This 203-nucleotide unclassified non-coding RNA is filed under the name fungal sp. RNAcentral's name for it is "partial internal transcribed spacer region". The stretch from base 1 to 46 matches the Rfam family "Eukaryotic small subunit ribosomal RNA", at positions 1786 to 1831 of the family's 1831-position model. Lineage: Eukaryota; Fungi. The record is from RNAcentral.
AAGUCGUAACAAGGUUUCCGUAGGUGAACCUGCGGAAGGAUCAUUUCCAAAUUCCAAGGGGAGUUCGCUCCCCCAAACGAGAUUGGUCCCCUAACUGUAAAAAGUUUUUGGGGGCUUCUCUCAAUAUCAACCUGUUGUACUGUUUGUCAAAAUUAUUGGUGCUAAUAAAAAAACAACUUUUAACAAUGGAUCUCUUGGCUCUU